GAGAAAUGCACUACGCAUGUCAAUUUAUUAAAAUGAUAAAUGAUAAAAAGCCCGAUACAUAAAAUUCCAAUGCUUUUGGGCAUAAGCAUGGAUGUUUAGUUUGCAUUACUUUGAAAUUGAAUCACAAGUGACUGGUAAACUCAUGGUGGUCCAGUUGCUCAGCUUUAGAUUCGGUGGCCCAAGGUAUGUAGUAGGAAUCUCAUCCACAUUUCCUGGCUGUUCUUCACCUUCCUCCGUUGCACAUAUUGAUAAAUCAGAAAAAGUCCCUCCUAAAGCUGACACUGAUUCUUGGUUCUCAACGGUGAGUGAUUCAGGAAAGAUGCAACCUCCAGAUCGGAAUGUCUCGUAGAGAUGAGGAUAUGUCAU
RNAcentral lists this long non-coding RNA (366 nucleotides) under Theobroma cacao (cacao). RNAcentral describes it as "long non-coding RNA (TCAC_LNC001880)". The record is from RNAcentral. Lineage: Eukaryota; Viridiplantae; Streptophyta; Magnoliopsida; Malvales; Malvaceae.